This 629-nucleotide ribosomal RNA is filed under the name Clitolyophyllum sp. RNAcentral's name for it is "partial large subunit ribosomal RNA". It matches the Rfam family "Eukaryotic large subunit ribosomal RNA", at positions 48 to 655 of the family's 3401-position model. The record is from RNAcentral. Lineage: Eukaryota; Fungi; Basidiomycota; Agaricomycetes; Agaricales; Lyophyllaceae.
AAGCGGAGGAAAAGAAACUAACAAGGAUUCCCCUAGUAACGGCGAGUGAAGCGGGAAAAGCUCAAAUUUAAAAUCUGGUAGUCCUUGUGGCUACCCGAGUUGUAAUCUAGAGAAGCGUUAUCCGCGCUGGACCGUGUACAAGUCUCCUGGAACGGAGCGUCAUAGAGGGUGAGAAUCCCGUCUUUGACACGGACUACCAGGGCUUUGUGAUGCGCUCUCAAAGAGUCGAGUUGUUUGGGAAUGCAGCUCUAAAUGGGUGGUAAAUUCCAUCUAAAGCUAAAUAUUGGCGAGAGACCGAUAGCGAACAAGUACCGUGAGGGAAAGAUGAAAAGAACUUUGGAAAGAGAGUUAAACAGUACGUGAAAUUGUUGAAAGGGAAACGCUUGAAGUCAGUCGCGUUGGCCGGGGAUCAACCUUGCUUUUCUGCUUGGCGUAUUUUCCGGUUGAUGGGUCAGCAUCAAUUUUGACCGGUGGAUAAAGAUCAGGGGAAUGUGGCAUCUUCGGAUGUGUUAUAGCCCUUGGUCGCAUGCAUCGGUUGGGAUUGAGGAACUCAGCACGCCGCAAGGCCGGGUUUUUUAACCACGUACGUGCUUAGGAUGCUGGCAUAAUGGCUUUAAUCGACCCGUCUU